This 250-nucleotide ribosomal RNA is filed under the name uncultured Phyllobacteriaceae bacterium. RNAcentral's name for it is "partial 16S ribosomal RNA". It matches the Rfam family "Bacterial small subunit ribosomal RNA", at positions 524 to 773 of the family's 1533-position model. The record is from RNAcentral. Lineage: Bacteria; Pseudomonadati; Pseudomonadota; Alphaproteobacteria; Hyphomicrobiales; Phyllobacteriaceae.
UACGAAGGGGGCUAGCGUUGUUCGGAAUUACUGGGCGUAAAGCGCACGUAGGCGGAUAUUUAAGUGAGGGGUGAAAUCCCAGGGCUCAACCCUGGAACUGCCUUUCAUACUGGGUAUCUCGAGUUCGAGAGAGGUGAGUGGAAUUGCGAGUGUAGAGGUGAAAUUCGUAGAUAUUCGCAGGAACACCAGUGGCGAAGGCGGCUCACUGGCUCGAUACUGACGCUGAGGUGCGAAAGCGUGGGGAGCAAAC